RNAcentral lists this ribosomal RNA (240 nucleotides) under uncultured Lactobacillus sp. RNAcentral describes it as "partial 16S ribosomal RNA". It matches the Rfam family "Bacterial small subunit ribosomal RNA", at positions 122 to 354 of the family's 1533-position model. The record is from RNAcentral. Lineage: Bacteria; Bacillati; Bacillota; Bacilli; Lactobacillales; Lactobacillaceae.
UAACCUGCCCAAGAGAUCGGGAUAACACCUGGAAACAGAUGCUAAUACCGGAUAACAACAGAUGAUGCCUAUCAACUGUUUAAAAGAUGGUUCUGCUAUCACUCUUGGAUGGACCUGCGGUGCAUUAGCUAGUUGGUAGGGUAACGGCCUACCAAGGCGAUGAUGCAUAGCCGAGUUGAGAGACUGAUCGGCCGCAUUGGGACUGAGACACGGCCCAAACUCCUACGGGAGGCAGCAGGA